Molecule: long non-coding RNA, 501 nt
Filed under: Homo sapiens (human)
Lineage: Eukaryota; Metazoa; Chordata; Mammalia; Primates; Hominidae
Description: HSALNT0402030
Source: RNAcentral
CAGAAAGUUCCCUUGUACUCUUCCCUGCUCACCCCCCAUCCUGAGCCCUACGCAGCCACUGCUCUUCUUCCUCUCACUGGAGCAUGUGGACUUCUGUGGAGGGCGUGGACUUGUCUGCCUGUUUUGCUCAGCUUUCUCUGCGUGGCUGAGCUGGGAGCAGCUCCCUGUCCUGCUCUGCUGCGCCGUCCCCCAUGGCAAGGGUCUGCCGCCAUGGUAAACACCUGUGAGUGCAAGGGCUGGGUCCCAAGGCAGACAUAGGCUUUACCGUUUUAAGGAACUGCCAGACAGAUUUCCAAGUGACUGUGCCUCUGCAUUCCUGCCAGCAGCGGAUGAGAGUUCUGGCGCUCUGUCCUCAUCCUUGCCAGCGGUGUUUAUGACACCUGUUCAGACUUCUAAAGUCCAAGAAGGGACCUCAGCAACACAGGCACGUCUCCUGGGCAGAGGCGUGCGUCAUGGAAAACUUGGAGGCUGGUGAUUGGGCCGUCUCUGCUGCAAAGUCAA